GGGUUGUGAGGUUAAGCGACUAAGCGUACACGGUGGAUGCCCUGGCAGUCAGAGGCGAUGAAGGACGUGCUAAUCUGCGAAAAGCGUCGGUAAGGUGAUAUGAACCGUUACAGCCGGCGAUGUCCGAAUGGGGAAACCCAGUGCAAUUCGUUGCACUAUCGUUAACUGAAUACAUAGGUUAACGAGGCGAACCGGGGGAACUGAAACAUCUAAGUACCCCGAGGAAAAGAAAUCAACCGAGAUUCCCCCAGUAGCGGCGAGCGAACGGGGAGCAGCCCAGAGUCUGAAUCAGCUUGUGUGUUAGUGGAACGGUCUGGAAAGUCCGACGGUACAGGGUGAUAGUCCCGUACACCAAAAUGCACAGGUUGUGAACUCGAAGAGUAGGGCGGGACACGUGGUAUCCUGUCUGAAUAUGGGGGGACCAUCCUCCAAGGCUAAAUACUCCUGACUGACCGAUAGUGAACCAGUACCGUGAGGGAAAGGCGAAAAGAACCCCGGCGAGGGGAGUGAAAAAGAACCUGAAACCGUGUACGUACAAGCAGUGGGAGCACCUUCGGGUGUGACUGCGUACCUUUUGUAUAAUGGGUCAGCGACUUAUAUUCUGUAGCAAGGUUAACCGUAUAGGGGAGCCGCAGGGAAACCGAGUCUUAACUGGGCGUUAAGUUGCAGGGUAUAGACCCGAAACCCGGUGAUCUAGCCAUGGGCAGGUUGAAGGUUGGGUAACACUAACUGGAGGACCGAACCGACUAAUGUUGAAAAAUUAGCGGAUGACUUGUGGCUGGGGGUGAAAGGCCAAUCAAACCGGGAGAUAGCUGGUUCUCCCCGAAAGCUAUUUAGGUAGCGCCUCGUGAACUCAUCUUCGGGGGUAGAGCACUGUUUCGGCUAGGGGGUCAUCCCGACUUACCAACCCGAUGCAAACUACGAAUACCGAAGAAUGUUAUCACGGGAGACACACGGCGGGUGCUAACGUCCGUCGUGAAGAGGGAAACAACCCAGACCGCCAGCUAAGGUCCCAAAGUCACAGUUAAGUGGGAAACGAUGUGGGAAGGCACAGACAGCCAGGAUGUUGGCUUAGAAGCAGCCAUCAUUUAAAGAAAGCGUAAUAGCUCACUGGUCGAGUCGGCCUGCGCGGAAGAUGUAACGGGGCUAAACUGUGCACCGAAGCUGCGGCAGCGACACUAUGUGUUGUUGGGUAGGGGAGCGUUCUGUAAGCCUGCGAAGGUGGCCUGUGAGGGUUGCUGGAGGUAUCAGAAGUGCGAAUGCUGACAUAAGUAACGAUAAUGCGGGUGAAAAGCCCGCACGCCGGAAGACCAAGGGUUCCUGUCCAACGUUAAUCGGGGCAGGGUGAGUCGACCCCUAAGGCGAGGCCGAAAGGCGUAGUCGAUGGGAAACAGGUUAAUAUUCCUGUACUUGGUGUUACUGCGAAGGGGGGACGGAGAAGGCUAUGUUAGCCGGGCGACGGUUGUCCCGGUUUAAGCAUGUAGGCGGAGGUUCCAGGUAAAUCCGGUACCUUUUUAACGCUGAGGUGUGAUGACGAGGCACUACGGUGCUGAAGUAACAAAUGCCCUGCUUCCAGGAAAAGCCUCUAAGCAUCAGGUAACAUUAAAUCGUACCCCAAACCGACACAGGUGGUCAGGUAGAGAAUACCAAGGCGCUUGAGAGAACUCGGGUGAAGGAACUAGGCAAAAUGGUGCCGUAACUUCGGGAGAAGGCACGCUGAUAUGUAGGUGAAGUCCCUGCGGAUGGAGCUGAAAUCAGUCGAAGAUACCAGCUGGCUGCAACUGUUUAUUAAAAACACAGCACUGUGCAAACACGAAAGUGGACGUAUACGGUGUGACGCCUGCCCGGUGCCGGAAGGUUAAUUGAUGGGGUUAUCCGUAAGGAGAAGCUCUUGAUCGAAGCCCCGGUAAACGGCGGCCGUAACUAUAACGGUCCUAAGGUAGCGAAAUUCCUUGUCGGGUAAGUUCCGACCUGCACGAAUGGCGUAAUGAUGGCCAGGCUGUCUCCACCCGAGACUCAGUGAAAUUGAACUCGCUGUGAAGAUGCAGUGUACCCGCGGCAAGACGGAAAGACCCCGUGAACCUUUACUAUAGCUUGACACUGAACAUUGAGCCUUGAUGUGUAGGAUAGGUGGGAGGCUUUGAAGCGUGGACGCCAGUCUGCGUGGAGCCAACCUUGAAAUACCACCCUUUAAUGUUUGAUGUUCUAACGUUGGCCCCUAAUCGGGGUUGCGGACAGUGUCUGGUGGGUAGUUUGACUGGGGCGGUCUCCUCCCAAAGAGUAACGGAGGAGCACGAAGGUUAGCUAAUCCUGGUCGGACAUCAGGAGGUUAGUGCAAUGGCAUAAGCUAGCUUGACUGCGAGCGUGACGGCGCGAGCAGGUGCGAAAGCAGGUCAUAGUGAUCCGGUGGUUCUGAAUGGAAGGGCCAUCGCUCAACGGAUAAAAGGUACUCCGGGGAUAACAGGCUGAUACCGCCCAAGAGUUCAUAUCGACGGCGGUGUUUGGCACCUCGAUGUCGGCUCAUCACAUCCUGGGGCUGAAGUAGGUCCCAAGGGUAUGGCUGUUCGCCAUUUAAAGUGGUACGCGAGCUGGGUUUAGAACGUCGUGAGACAGUUCGGUCCCUAUCUGCCGUGGGCGCUGGAGAAUUGAGGGGGGCUGCUCCUAGUACGAGAGGACCGGAGUGGACGCAUCACUGGUGUUCGGGUUGUCAUGCCAAUGGCAUUGCCCGGUAGCUAAAUGCGGAAGAGAUAAGUGCUGAAAGCAUCUAAGCACGAAACUUGCCCCGAGAUGAGUUCUCCCUGAGACUUUAAGUCUCCUGAAGGAACGUUAAAGACGAUGACGUUGAUAGGUCGGGUGUGUAAGCGUAGCGAUACGUUGAGCUAACCGAUACUAAUGAACCGUGAGGCUUAACCUUACAACGCCGAAG
RNAcentral lists this ribosomal RNA (2926 nucleotides) under Klebsiella aerogenes. RNAcentral describes it as "bacterial LSU rRNA". It matches the Rfam family "Bacterial large subunit ribosomal RNA". The record is from RNAcentral. Lineage: Bacteria; Pseudomonadati; Pseudomonadota; Gammaproteobacteria; Enterobacterales; Enterobacteriaceae.